This 494-nucleotide ribosomal RNA is filed under the name uncultured bacterium. Its description in RNAcentral is "partial 16S ribosomal RNA". It matches the Rfam family "Bacterial small subunit ribosomal RNA", at positions 28 to 507 of the family's 1533-position model. The record is from RNAcentral.
GACGAACGCUGGCGGCGUGCUUAACACAUGCAAGUCGAACGGUGAAGCGCCUUCCUUUUUGGUGGGGGUGGAUGAGUGGCGAACGGGUGAGUAACACGUGAGUAACCUGCCCCCUUCUUCUGGAUAACCGCAUGAAAGUGUGGCUAAUACGGGAUAUUCUGGGUCUGUCGCAUGAUGGGUCUGGGAAAGAUAUUGUUUCGGUGGGGGAUGGGCUCGCGGCCUAUCAGCUUGUUGGUGGGGUGAUGGCCUACCAAGGCGGUGACGGGUAGCCGGCCUGAGAGGGUCGACCGCACCACUGGGGCGACGCGACGGACCAGACUCCUGCAGGAGGCAGCAGGGGGGAAUAUGGCACAAUGGGAGGAAGGCUGAAGCAGCGACGCCGCGGGAGGGAUGGUGGCCUUCGGGUUGUGAACCUCUUUCGCCAGUGAAGCAGGCCUGCCUCGUUUGUGGGUGGGUUGACGGUAGCUGGAGAAGAAGCGCCGGCUAACUACGUG